RNAcentral lists this ribosomal RNA (452 nucleotides) under uncultured bacterium. Its description in RNAcentral is "bacterial SSU rRNA". It matches the Rfam family "Bacterial small subunit ribosomal RNA", at positions 46 to 524 of the family's 1533-position model. The record is from RNAcentral.
GCUUACACAUGCAAGUCUACUUGAACUUCGGUUUGGGUGGCGGACGGGUGAGUAACGCGUAAAGAACUUGCCUCACAGUUAGGGACAACAUUUGGAAACGAAUGCUAAUACCUGAUAUUAUGAUUUUAGGGCAUCCUAAGAUUAUGAAAGCUAUAUGUGCUGUGAGAGAGCUUUGCGUCCCAUUAGCUAGUUGGAAAGGUAACGGCUCACCAAGGCGAUGAUGGGUAGCCGGCCUGAGAGGGUGAACGGCCACAAGGGGACUGAGACACGGCCCUUACUCCUACGGGAGGCAGCAGUGGGGAAUAUUGGACAAUGGACCAAAAGUCUGAUCCAGCAAUUCUGUGUGCACGAUGACGUUUUUCGGAAUGUAAAGUGCUUUCAGUUGGGAAGAAAAAAAUGACGGUACCAACAGAAGAAGUGACGGCUAAAUACGUGCCAGCAGCCGCGGUAAU